This is a non-coding RNA of Rattus norvegicus (Norway rat), 69 nucleotides long. Lineage: Eukaryota; Metazoa; Chordata; Mammalia; Rodentia; Muridae. The record is from Rfam.
GGGGAUUUAGCUCAGUGGUAGAGCGCUUGCCUAGGCAGCGCAAGGCCCUGGGUUCGGUCCCCAGCUCCA